AUGGCGAAGCUAUACAUGCAGGCGGUGCCCCCACCGCAUCUGAACAAGAACACCGAGUGGUUCAUGUACCCGGGGGUCUGGACCACCCACAUCUUCAUCCUCUUCGUCUCCUGGCUCCUCAUCCUCUCCAUCUUCGGUUGCACCCCCGGCAUGGCCUGGACACUCGUCCACCUCGGCCACUUCACGAAGAAGGGAACUCCAUUGGCUGAUGAUCAGGGGAUGUAUAAUAGGUUGACUUGGUGGGAGCAAAUGGACAACGGCAAGUAG
This 267-nucleotide ribosomal RNA is filed under the name Triticum aestivum (bread wheat). RNAcentral describes it as "partial small subunit ribosomal RNA". The record is from RNAcentral. Lineage: Eukaryota; Viridiplantae; Streptophyta; Magnoliopsida; Poales; Poaceae.